UGGUGGAGUGAUUUGUCUGGUUAAUUCCGUUAACGAACGAGACCUCGACCUGCUAAAUAGUGCAGCGAAUCUUCGGCUUCGACUGACACUUCUUAGAGGGACUUUGUCUGUUUAGGACAAGGAAGUGCGAGGCAAUAACA
This 140-nucleotide ribosomal RNA is filed under the name uncultured eukaryote. RNAcentral describes it as "partial 18S ribosomal RNA". It matches the Rfam family "Eukaryotic small subunit ribosomal RNA", at positions 1299 to 1458 of the family's 1831-position model. The record is from RNAcentral.